Molecule: ribosomal RNA, 479 nt
Filed under: uncultured bacterium
Lineage: Bacteria
Description: partial 16S ribosomal RNA
Rfam family: Bacterial small subunit ribosomal RNA
Source: RNAcentral
GAUGAACGCUAGCGGGAGGCCUAACACAUGCAAGCCGAGCGGUAUGGAUAGCUUUCUAUCCAGAGAGCGGCGUACGGGUGCGUAACACGUGUGCAACCUACCUUUAUCUGGGGGAUAGCCUUUCGAAAGGAAGAUUAAUACCCCAUAAUAUAAUGAUUGGCAUCAAUUAUUAUUGAAAACUCCGGUGGAUAGAGAUGGGCACGCGCAAGAUUAGAUAGUUGGUGAGGUAACGGCUCACCAAGUCAAUGAUCUUUAGGGGUCCUGAGAGGGAGAUCCCCCACACUGGUACUGAGACACGGACCAGACUCCUACGGGAGGCAGCAGUGAGGAAUAGUGGACAAUGGGUGAGAGCCUGAUCCAGCCAUCCCGCGUGAAGGAUGACGGUCCUAUGGAUUGUAAACUUCUUUUGUACAGGGAUAAACCUACUCUCGUGAGGGUAGCUGAAGGUACUGUACGAAUAAGCACCGGCUAACUCCGUG